AUUGAACGCUGGCGGCAGGCCUAACACAUGCAAGUCGAGCGAGUGGCGGACGGGUGAGUAAUGUCUGGGAAACUGCCUGAUGGAGGGGGAUAACUACUGGAAACGGUAGCUAAUACCGCAUACCCUCAGAUGUGCCCAUAUGGGAUUAGCUUGUGUGUGGGGUAAUGGUUCACCAAGGCGACGAGCCCUAGCUGGUCUGAGAGGAUGACCAGCCACACUGGAACUGAGACACGGUCCAGACUCCUACGGGAGGCAGCAGUGGGGAAUAUUGCACAAGGGGCGCAAGCCUGAUGCAGCCAUGCCGCGUGUAUGAAGAAGGCCUUCGGGUUGUAAAGUACUUUCAGCGGGGAGGCGUUACUCGCAGAAGAAGCACCGGCUAACUCCGUGCCAGCAGCCGCGGUAAUUC
RNAcentral lists this ribosomal RNA (406 nucleotides) under uncultured bacterium. RNAcentral describes it as "partial 16S ribosomal RNA". It matches the Rfam family "Bacterial small subunit ribosomal RNA", at positions 30 to 526 of the family's 1533-position model. The record is from RNAcentral.